UACGUAGGGUGCAAGCGUUGUCCGGAAUUAUUGGGCGUAAAGAGCUCGUAGGCGGUCUGUCGCGUCGGCUGUGAAAACCCGGGGCUCAACCCCGGGCCUGCAUUCGAUACGGGCAGACUAGAGUUCGGUAGGGGAGACUGGAAUUCCUGGUGUAGCGGUGAAAUGCGUAGAUAUCAUGAGGAAGACCGGCGGCGAAGGCGGAUCUCUGGACAGUUCCUGACACUGAGGCACGAAGGCUAGGGGAGCAAACGGG
This 253-nucleotide ribosomal RNA is filed under the name uncultured bacterium. RNAcentral describes it as "partial 16S ribosomal RNA". It matches the Rfam family "Bacterial small subunit ribosomal RNA", at positions 524 to 776 of the family's 1533-position model. The record is from RNAcentral.